This 10185-nucleotide long non-coding RNA is filed under the name Triticum aestivum (bread wheat). Its description in RNAcentral is "long non-coding RNA (TAES_LNC022069)". Lineage: Eukaryota; Viridiplantae; Streptophyta; Magnoliopsida; Poales; Poaceae. The record is from RNAcentral.
CUUAUUGUAGUGAAACCCAAACUUAUUGCAGCAGCUGGUGGGGGUAAAUUAACUUCCACAGCUGUGGUACCCAACUGUGAAUUCCAACUGGCCAAACACACCUUGCAGUACAAUUUCAGAGUUUUACCUUUGCCUGGAUAUGAUGUGAUUCUGGGAUACGAUUGGUUUACUCUCAUGAGUCCAGUAGUCUUCAACAUACCAGAGAACACUUUCAGUUUCUCAUUGCAAGGAAAGACAACAGUUACUGCUGCAAUCUUAACACACCAGAGAAAGUUAAAGAGGUGCCAGCUGAGAAAAUGAACAAAUUACUGGAUAAGGGAGCUGAAGCAUUUUUGCUGCAGGUGCAUAAUAUCAUUCUACAAGCUCCUGCUGGUUUCAAAACUCCUCCUCAAGUGCAGAAAUUUUAAUGGAAUAUGCAGAUUUAUUUGAGGAACCCCAAAACCUGCCUCCACAUAGGGAGUGUGACCACACAAUCCCUCUCAUGCCUGGUACUGAACCUUCUUGUAACACCCCGGAUGUAAUUUACCUUAUACGUAUCCCAACUCUUGCCGUUUCCGGCGCUAAGUUAUUUUAUUUCCUCGGGUCGUUGUCAUGCAUCUCAUAUCAUGUCAUCAUGUGCAUUGCAUUUGCAUUCGUGUUCGUCUCAUGCAUCCGAGCAUUUUCCCCGUUGUCCGUUUUGCAUUCCGGCGCUCCUAUCUCAUCCGGUGGUCCUUUCUACCUUCUUUUCGUGUGUGGGGGUUGAAAAUUUCCGGAUUGGACUGAGACUUGCCAAGCGGCCUUGGUUUACUACCGGUAGACCGCCUGUCAAGUUUCGUACCAUUUGGACUUCGUUUGAUACUCCAACGGUUAACCGAGGGACCGAGAAGGCCUCGUGUGUGUUGCAGCCCAACACACUUCCAAUUUGGCCCAAAACCCACCAAAACUUUCUCCAUCAUCUAGAGCGUUCGAUCACGAUCGCGGGCCGAAAACCGCACCUCAUUUGGACUCUCCUAGCUCCCCCUAUGCCUAUAUAUAGAUCCUCUCCCGAAAUUUUCGGGUCUUCUUCCCCAAACCCUAGACCCCCUUCCUCUCCGCGCGCCGGACAACGUCCGGACGCGCCAGACACGUCCGCCCGCUUCGCUCGGACCAACCGCAGCGCGCCACGUGGGCAAGCGUGCCCACAUCACCGCCGGCCCGCCCGGGCCCAAGGCCGGCCCUCUCCUCCCGCGACCGGGCCCGAGCCGCAGCGCUCCGCCCUCCGCCUCCUUCUUCCUCGCCGGCGCCGGACCCCGCCGCCGUCUACUCCACGCCGCCGCAUGCCAUCGCCGGCCUCACCGCUCCGGCGAGGCACCGCCUGCACCGAUGCUGCGGCCGCGCCACCGCACGUCCCGGCGAGCUCCUCCGACGCCCCGCUGCACCGGCGACCCUCCCGGAUCCGGCUCCUCCUUCCUCCGGCGACCUCGGCCCAAGUCCGGCGACCUCGAAGCUCCGGCCGAUGAUCCUCGACAUCCGCGUUGCUACAGUACCCCGGCCAGAUCUGGAUCCAAAUUUCGGAUCGGUUGACUUUCUCCCUGAAACCCUAGUUAUUUUGCGUAUUUCGUCAUGUCGUAUCUCCGCAUCCAUAGCUCCGUUUUGGGCGUGUAGCAUAUCAAAAUGUUUGCCUCAAAGAGUACAUCAUUUCAUCUCAUUGCAUCAUUUUCAUUUGAGCUCAUCUUGAUACCCGCAAUGCUGUUGUAAGAGAGCUAUUUGAGAUAAUUGUCAGAUCUGCUGCACCAAAUAGCUAUUUGUCAUUUUUGCCAUGAUUAAUGUGUGCAUGAUAUGCUCCUGAGUUCUACAUGUGUUUUGUUAUAUGCUUUGCCAUCUUUACAGAGGUGCUUACCAUGUAUUUUUGUGAUGUGUGUGGUGACUAGCACAAGCUUGCAAAGUAGUGCAUUCGUUAAUGCUGAUUUCACAGACUUAGAAUUCCUCUAAGUCCUUGAUCUGUUUUUAUCAAUAUGCCAUAUGUUCAUGUUGUUUUCUAGUGAUCCGUGCCUCUUUUGAGGAUGAUCAGUAAGGAUGAUUUGCUAAUAUUGUGGUGCUCUAUCCAUCCAUGUCUUGUUUUGCAAUUAUGGACCACCCUAGCUUGAGUCAAUCGAGCUCUACUUUUGCUAUUUCGUGAAUCCGGGCAGAUUGUUGACUCGUUAGCGAUUUUGCCAAGGAUGUUGUUGUUGAUCCGUGCAUGCUAUGUUGUUGUUCUUGUCAUGUGUAGCUUCUAUAAUAUGUAUUAUAGAUGGGUGUAUGCUUAGUUUGUCAUGCCUUGCUCUGUAGUGAGUGCAUCGAGCUCGUGAACAUGUCUACUCGUUAACAGAUUCGCAUGCUCCAGUUUUUCACUAAGUUUGUAACCUGAUUAUGUUUUUGCCAUGUUCACAUGCUUGCAAUUGUAUUUUCUGAUCCCUUUUGGCUCAAGGUCACUAAGGGACGUUUGUUAAGUACUUUGAGUAGCUUCAUGUCAUGCCUUGAUUUGCCAUGUUAAGUUCUUGUAGCAUAUAGUUUUCUUGCUCCAAAGUGUGCUACCUGAUCUGAAAUUCCAGGCUUGCGUAAAUUUCACUAAGUCUGAAACCUGUUAUCGUUUGCAUUUUUGCCAUGCUUGUUUGAACCUGUUAAUGGAUGAAUUGGCCAUAGCUCAGUGUUCAUCUUUUGUCAAGCAUCAUGAGUGGAUCCCUUCCAUGUAUUUUCUUGCCAUGUUUGAGUGUUGUAGCAUAUUUAUCUUGUUGCAUUUAGAUGGCUACUUGCUGUUUAUCGCAGACAUGUGCCAUAUUUGUUUUGCUUGCCAUUUCCAAACCGUGCAUCCGAUUCCGGUGAUCUUUAUAUCGAUUUCAACCGAAAUGACCUCACCUUUCCAGUGGCACUCUUGGAUUUACAUGUUGAGGCCAGGUCGAAUCAUUCCUUGUCAAAUCUUGCAUAUGCAUCACAUAUCGCAUCCCGCAUAGCAUACCAUGUUUGCAUCAUGUUGUUCGAGCUUUUGCACGUGGUUGAUUGUGUUCCUUUUGCUUGUUUGUCUUGUUUGGGUAGAGCCGAGAGACGAGUUCGCUAACGAGGAGCCCGUUGAGUUUGCUUACGAGGACCAAGUCAACUCUGACAACUUUGCAGGCAAGAUGAUCAUACCCUCGAAAUCACUUCUAUCUUUGCUUGCUAGAUGCUCGCUCUUUUGCUAUGCCUAUGCUACGAUACCUACCACUUGCUUAUCAUGCCUCCUAAAUUGCCAUGUCAAACCUCUAACCCACCAUGUCCUAGCAAACCGUUGAUUGGCUAUGUUACUGCUUUGCUCAGCCCCUCUUAUAGCGUUGCUAGUUGCAAGUGAAGUUUGGAGAUCGUUCCUUGUUGGAACAUUGUUUAUUGUUGGGAUAUCACUAUAUUAUCUUGUUAUCUUAAUGCAUCUAUAUACUUGGUAAAGGGUGGAAGGCUCGGCCUUUUGCCUAGUGUUUUCUUCCACUCUUGCCGCCCUAGUUUCCGUCAUAUCGGUGUUAUGUUCCCGGAUUUUGCGUUCCUUACGCGGUUGGGUGAUAAUGGGAACCCCUUGACAGUUCGCCUUGAAUAAAACUCCUCCAGCAAUGCCCAACCUUGGUUUUACCAUUUUCCAUCUAGCCUCUUUUUCCCUUGGGUUUCCGGAGCCCGAGAGUCAUCUUUAUUUAAACCCUCCCGGGCCAGUGCUUCUCCGAGUGUUGGUCCAAACUAGAGCCCUGUGCAGCGCCCCCUCGGGGAAACUCGAGGUUUGGUUUUAGUUGUAUGGAGCGCUCAUCUGAGUGUGCCUUGAGAAUGAGAUAUGUGCAGCUCCUAUCGGGAUUUGUCGGCACAUUCGGGUGGUGUUGCUGGACUUGUUUUAGCAUUAUUGAAGUUGUCUUGUAGAACCGGGAUGCCGAGUCUGAUCGGAAUGUCUCGGGAGAAGGUUUAUCCUUCUUUGUCCGUGAGAGCUUGUGAUGGGCUAAGUUGGGACUCCCCUGCAGGGAUUUGAACUUUCGAAAGCCGUGCCCGCAGUUAUGGGCAGAUGAGAAUUUGUUAAUGUCCGAUUGUAGAUAACAUGAACCUUAACUUAAUUAAAAUGAAUCAACUGCGUGUAUUACCGUGAUGGUCUCUUCUCGGCGGAGUCCGGGAAGUGAACACGGUGUUGGAGUAAUGUUUGCCGUAGGUUGUUCUAUAGUUCUUCGUUCGUGCUUUGCCUUUUCUUCUUGCUCUCUUUUGCGAACAGGUUAGCCUCCAUAUAUGCUAGUCGCUUGCUGCAGCUCCACAUAUUACCUUGCCUUACCUAUAAGCUUAAAUAGUCUUGAUCGCGAGGGUGCGAGAUUGCUGAGUCCCCGUGGCUCACAGAUUACUUCCAAAUCAGAUGCAGGGCCCGAUGACUCCGUUCCAGAUGAUGCGCUUGAGCUCAAGUGGGAGUUCGACGAAGACUCACGCCGUUACUAUGUGUCUUUCCCUGAUGAUCAGUAGUGGUGCCCAGUUGGGGCGAUCGGGACUGUGUCGCAUGUUGGGGUUGAUCUUUUAUUUUGGUACCAUAGUCGGACCAUGAGUGUUUGGAUGAUUGUAAUGUUAUUCAUGUACUUUGUGUGACGUGGCGAGUGUAAGCCAACUAUGUACCUUUCCCCUUAUUAUCUAUUUACACGGGUUGUUGUGAAGAUUACCUUACUUGCGACAUUGCUUUCUAUGCGGUUAUGCCUCUAAGUCGUGCUUUGACACGUAGGAGAUAUAACCGCAUCGAGGGCGUUACAAGUUGGUAAUCAGAGCCUUCCCCGACCUUAGGAGCCCCCACUGCUUGAUUGAAUUAGCUGACGAGUUGAGUCUAGAAAAAUGUUUUGUGUCAUUUAGGAAUUAUAUAUCGGAGAGUUUAGGAAUUCUUUUUACUCCCCAGUCCCUUCAUCGCUCUGGUAAGGCAUCCUAACGUAGAGUUUUGACUCUUCUCUUCUCAAAUUUCACUAAAUGUUUUUAGGAUCACGCGGGUAUCUUGGAAUCGUUCCGAUCGAUUUGUGACGAGAACAUUGUUCUUGGUGCCUCCUGUCAUUUUGGGGUUGUGGCAGUGUCCCGGGGAGUUGAGCUCCGAGGUGUUGUCGUCACAAUUUUAUCGUUGAAGUUCUGGAAUACCUGAGUUUAGUUCGCCGACAUCGAAAAUCUCUUUUAUGAAGUUGUUGGUGAGAUAACCUCGACGCCACCCAGUACUAGGUCGGGAGUUCGGGAGUAUUGCCAUAACUUGUAUAACAGAUGCUUUUCGAAGGUUGAGGUAGACGAUUUCCGAAGUUUUUCUUGGUUAUGUGUUGAAGGAUGGAUACAGCUGGAUGUAGGAUUUGCUAGAUUUGGGUGAGAUAUUAUGCUUCCCCUGUAUCCCCAACACCUGAUUGCAUAACCGGAAAGGUUCAGGAGUUUCAUAGGUGGGAAUUCUUGUAGCUCUAGUUCUUCUUCCACGGAUAUUUGGUUUGAGAUUGAGUGAUCCUUACCGAGUAUUUGUUCUUGUUCCGUACCUUGUUGAUUUUAUUUCUUCUACCUAAAUUCUAAGUGGCUUCUCAAUUUAUGGAUAUGUGACCAUUUCAAUUGGAAUGCAUUCGUUCAUUUCGUUCGGAUGCGAAGACUAUAUGUUGCAAUUUCAACCCGUUUGGUUCAGCUUCAAUAUUUAUCUGUCAGUGUGCUAACGGAUGUCAACCUCUUUAGGAUGGCUCCUCCAACGCGCACGACUCUGAAUCCUGAUCCGCCACCACCACCUCCACCUCCGGAGGCAUGGCAAGCUGUGAUGGCCGCUACCAAUGCAAACACGUAGCUGAUCAUGCAAAUUCUUCAAGAGCGCAACCAAGCAAACCAAGGCAACCAAGGCAACCAUCAGAAUCACUUUGCUACACUCAACCAGUUCCUUGCUAACCAGCCAAAGACUUUCAGCAAUUGUGUUGAGGCAACUGACGCUGAUGAUUGGCUCGUGGACUUGUGCAAGCAUUUCGAGUGCAGUAACGUCAGGCCUGAGGACUUUGUCAAGUUUGCUUCCUUCCAACUCAAAGACCAAGCUGCAGAAUGGUUUCAGCAGUACAAAGAUUCCAGAGGAGGCCGUGUGAUUACCUGGGAUGAAUUCCGUCAAGACUUCAAAGCUCAUCAUAUUCCUGAGAGCGUGGUUGAAAGCAAGCGUGAGGAAUUCUGCAACCUGAAGCAAGGCUCUAUGUCUGUCUAUGAGUACAACAAGAUGUUUCAGAAGCUCGCCCGCUUUGCUAAGCAGGACGUACCUGACGAGAAGAGCAUGAUAUACCAGUUCAGGGGUGGUCUCAGAGAAGAAAUCCAGUUAGCUCUUGUCCUCUUUGAGCCCAGGAGGUACGAUGAGUUUUACAACAUGGCAUUGAAGCAAGAGGCUGCUCAAUUGAAGUGUGAUGCUUCCAAGAAGCGAGUCAGAGAUGCUACUCCUUCUUCCUCAACUCAAGUGGCUAAGCAGCAGAAGUAUUGGCUUCCUCCUCCUCGUUUCAUCAGCCUUAUCAGUAGAGGAGCAAAGGUGGCAGUGGACAUUCCCACCCACCCAACCCUGGCUUUCAGAACAAGACUUCAUCUCAAGCUUCAAGAUCGAGUGCUCCGUAUCACCGUCCGCUUUCAGAGGUCACGUGCAACAAGUGCCAACAGAAGGGUCACUAUGCCAACAAAUGCUUCAAUCAGAGGCGCCUCCCUCCUCCUCCUCCUCCUCCUCCUCCUCCUGUGAGAUCGGCAAGUACAACUGUGGUCAAGCAUAACCCCAAGCACGCCAAGGUCAACUUGAUGAAUGCAACUCAGGCAGAGGACUCGUCAGAUGUCAUCAUGGGUAACCUUCCUGUUAACGAUAUUCCAGCUAAAGUUGUUUUUGACACUGGUGCAUCGCAUUGUUUCAUCUCAAGACCGUUUGCAUCUAAGCAUGAGUUGGCUUUGCAAGUUUUGCCUAGAGCGAUAGCAGUCGUCUCUCCCGGUAGGCGCAUGAGUGCUAACUCCAUUGUUCCGGAUGUUACUAUCACUUUGGGUGACUACAAGUUUUUGUCUUCUCCUACGGUUCUUGGUGACUCGGAUAUUGAUCUUAUUCUCGGAAUGGAUUGGCUUUCUAAGCACAAGGCUCAGCUUGAUUGUGCAGCCAGGCAGAUUCAAUUGACUCAUUCGUCUGAGGAUGUAAUUGUCUUUGCCGCUCGUGAUGAUACCAUCCGCCUGUUUUCUCUCAAUGAGAAGGGUGAACUGGAUGCCAUCUCGCAAAUUCCAGUCAUUUGCGAGUAUCAAGACGUCUUUCUAGAAGAGCUUCCAGGAAUGCCUUCGCACUGGCCAGUUGAAUUCGUCAUCGAUCUUGAGCCUGGCACGGAACGGGUUUGCAAGCGUCCUUACAAGCUUGGACCUGAAGAGUUGAAGGAGCUGAAGAAGCAACUCAAUAUUCAAGAGAGAAUGGGUCUCAUCCGACCUAGUUCUUCUCCGUGGGGUUGUGGAGUUCUUUUUGUGAAGAAGAAGGAUGGAACGAACCGACUUUGUGUUGACUACCGUCCAUUGAACAAGAAGACUAUCAAGAACAAGUACCCACUUCCCAACAUCAAUGAGCUGUUCGAACAACUCAAAGGUGCCCAAGUAUUCUCCAAGAUGGAUCUCUGUAUGGGUUAUCACCAGAUUCGAAUCCGUGAGCAAGAUAUUCCCAAGACGGCUUUCAGAACAAGCUAUGGUUCAUAUGAAUACACUGUCAUGUCUUUUGGCCUCGUCAACGCUCCUCCGACUUUCUCUCGCAUGAUGAACUUCAUUUUCAACGCCUACACAAAUGACUUCGUUUUGGUCUAUCUCGAUGACAUUCUGGUCUUUUCGAAGAACAAGGAAGAUCAUGCCAAGCACUUGCGUUUAGUGCUCGAUAAGCUCAGGGAACAUCAGUUCUACGCCAAGUUCUCAAAGUGCGAGUUUUGGCUCGAUGAGGUUCUCUAUCUUGGGCAUAUCAUCUCUGCCAAGGGCAUAUCAGUGAAUCCUGAGAAGGUGUCUGCAAUUGUGAAUUGGGAACCACCUCAGAACAUGAAGCAACUCCGUAGCUUCCUUGGUCUCGCAAGCUACUGUCGAACGUUCGUUGAGAACUUUUCAAAGAUCGUGAAUCCUCUUUCAAACCUUCUCCAGAAGCACGUCAAGUACGUUUGGUCUCCGGAAUGUGACAUUGCUUUCAACACUUUGAAAGAGAAAUUGGUCACUGCUCUAGUUCUGACUCCUCCUGAUGAAUCCAAACUGUUCGAGGUCUUCUGCGAUGCCUCUCUUCAAGGUCUUGGUGCAGUGUUGAUGCAAGAGAAGAAAGUUGUGGCUUAUACCUCUCGCCAGUUGAAGCCCAACGAGAAGAACUACCCCACUCAUGACCUCGAGUUGGAGGCAGUUGUGCAUGCUCUUUUGACUUGGAGACAUCUCUUAUUGGGAAGAAAAGCGGACAUUUUCACUGACCACAGGAGUCUCAAGUACAUCUUCACUCAGCCUAAUCUCAACCUCAGGCAGACUCGUUGGGUCGAAAUGAUUCAAGAGUAUAAUCCGAGUAUCGAGUAUACUCCAGGCAAGGCCAAUGUGAUUGCUGACGCUUUGAGCAGGAAGGCUUAUUGCAACAGUCUGAUUCUCAAGCCUUACCAACCCGAGCUUUGUGAAGCUUUCCGCAAACUCAAUCUGCAAGUUGUUCCUCAAGGUUUCCUCGCCAACCUUCAAGUCUCUCCUACCUUGGAAGAUCAGAUUCGCGAGGCUCAACUUCUUGAUGCUAUGGUGAAGAAGGUGGAGAUUGGGAUUGCCAAGAGUCAACCCAAGUACAAGUGCUACCGCCUUGAUGACAAGGAUACUCUCUUCUUCGAGGAUCGUAUUGUUGUGCCCAAAGGUGACCUUCGUAAAGUUAUCAUGAAUGAGGCUCACAAUUCACUCCUCUCCAUCCACCCUGGGAGUAUGAAGAUGUAUCAGGACCUCAAGCAGGCUUAUUGGUGGACUCGAAUGAAGCACGAGAUUGCUCAGUUCGUGAAUGAAUGUGAUGUCUGCAGAAGAGUGAAGGUAGAACACCAAAGGACAGCUGGUCUCCUCCAACCUCUUGCCAUUCCAGAAUGGAAGUUUGACCACAUUGAGAUGGACUUCGUGACUGGGUUUCCAAAGUCCAAGCGUGGCAAUGAUACUAUAUUCGUUGUCAUCGACAAACUCACUAAAGUGGCUCACUUUCUGCCUAUCAAAGAGUCUAUCACUUCAGCUCAAUUGGCGGAGCUUUAUACCUCUUGAAUUGUCUCUCUGCACGGCAUUCCACAUGUGAUCUCUUCAGACCAUGGCAGAAUCUUUAACUCCAAGUUUUGGGAUUCUUUUCAGAAGGACAUGGGCACCAACAUCCGCUUCAGCACAACUUUCCAUCCUCAAACUAGCGGUCAAGUCGAGCGUGUCAAUCAGAUUCUUGAAGAUAUGCUCAGGGCUUGUGUGAUCUCCUUCGGCAUGAAGUGGGAAGAUUGUCUUCCAUACGAUGAAUUCUCCUACAACAACAGUUUUCAAGCAAGUUCGGGCAAGGCCCCAUUCGAAAUUCGGUAUGGCAGAAAGUGCCGUACUCCUCUUAACUGGUCAGAGACCGGUGAAUGUCAACUUCUUGGAAAUGACUUGAUCAUAGAGGUAGAGGAGAUGUGCAAAGUCAAUCGAGAUAACCUCAAAGCAGCGCAAUUGCGACAGAAGAGCUACUAUGAUAGUAAGCACCGUGAUUUGGCAUUCGAGAUCGGAGAUCAUGUUUACCUCCGCGUCUCUCCAAUGAAAGGUACUCGUCGCUUCGGUAUCAAAGGGAAGCUUGCCCCUAGAUACGUGGGUCCUUUCAAAAUCGUCAGCAAGAGAGGCGAUCUCGCCUAUCAACUCGAGCUUCCUUCAAACUUUGCAAAUGUGCAUGACGUGUUCCAUGUCUCUUAGAUCCGCAAGUGCUUCAAGACUCCUGACCGCACCGUCAACUUCGAAGACAUUGAUCUCCAAGAAGACCUCUCUUAUCGUGAGCACCCAGUUGUUAUUCUUGAAGAGACUGAACGCAAGACUCGCAACAAGUUAAUCAAAUUCCUCAAAGUCAAGUGGUCACACCAUUCCGACCGUGAAGCCACCUGGGAACGCGAGGAUCACCUUCGUUCUGAGUACCCGGCGUUCUUCCAGUCCUAGAUCUCGGGACGAGAUCCUUUCUUAGUGGUGGAGUGUUGUAACACCCCGGAUGUAAUUUACCUUAUAUGUAUCCCAACUCUUGCCAUUUCCGGUGCUAAGUUAUUU